Molecule: transfer RNA, 76 nt
Filed under: Marmoricola endophyticus
Lineage: Bacteria; Bacillati; Actinomycetota; Actinomycetes; Propionibacteriales; Nocardioidaceae
Description: tRNA-Arg
Rfam family: tRNA
About the family: Transfer RNA (tRNA) molecules are approximately 80 nucleotides in length.
Source: RNAcentral
CCCCCGGUAGCUCAGCUGGAUAGAGCAUCCGACUUCUAAUCGGACGGCCGCGCGUUCGAGUCGCGCCCGGGGGACC